GGGUUGUGAGGUUAAGCGAACAAGCGUACACGGUGGAUGCCCUGGCAGUCAGAGGCGAUGAAGGACGUGCUAAUCUG
RNAcentral lists this ribosomal RNA (77 nucleotides) under Cronobacter sakazakii. RNAcentral's name for it is "partial 23S ribosomal RNA". Lineage: Bacteria; Pseudomonadati; Pseudomonadota; Gammaproteobacteria; Enterobacterales; Enterobacteriaceae. RNAcentral also lists the same sequence under 1 other name. The record is from RNAcentral.